Podarcis lilfordi (Lilford's wall lizard) is the source of this 323-nucleotide non-coding RNA. The record is from the annotation of a GenBank genome assembly. NCBI's taxonomy places the organism in Eukaryota, Metazoa, Chordata, Lepidosauria, Squamata, Lacertidae.
GGUUUGAUCUUCUUGCAGUCCAUGGGACUCUCAAGAGUCUCCUCCAGCACCAUAAUUCAAAAGCAUCCAUUCUUCGGCAAUCAGCCUUCUUUAUGGUCCAGCUCUCACUUCCAUACAUCACUACUGGGAAAACCAUGGCUUUAACUAUACGGACCUUUGUUGGCAAGGUGAUGUCUCUGCUUUUUAAGAUGCUGUCUAGGUGUGUCAUGAAGACAGAAGUGCCUGGCGUGCUCUGGUCCAUGGGGUCACGAAGAGUCAGACACGACUAAACGACUAAACAACAACAACAGGUUUGUCAUUGCUUUUCUCCCAAGAAGCAGGCG